Long non-coding RNA from Arvicola amphibius (Eurasian water vole), 388 nucleotides. RefSeq lists it as uncharacterized. Lineage: Eukaryota; Metazoa; Chordata; Mammalia; Rodentia; Cricetidae. The transcript is spliced from 3 exons. The record is from RefSeq and is a predicted model, not a curated record.
UCAUCGUGUUCCUUAGGUUUUGGUACAUUAAGCUUUCAAUUUCAUUCAAUUCUAGCAAUUUUGAAAUACCAUUUCUGCUUUUUUUCCACUGAGCCAACUGGGCUGCAGUUGAGUGCAACUUCCCAGCCUGGUGGUGUGUUCUUAACUCCAUGGCUUUCUGUGUUUUUUUCACUUUUGCCCUUGAUGCUGUCUAGCCCUAUUCUUUUGUGGUCAAGCAGUAAACAGGAUGUUCCAGAUUUUUCUAAACUCUGUUCCUGUUUCCCGUUCAUGCAGAGGGCUGUUGUCUAGGACAGUGAUUGGACAUGUGCAUGCGAUCUGACAGCUGCUAGAGCUUCUGCCUUGAUUUCACCAAAUGAUGGACUGUAACCUGAAACUAUAAGCCAAAUGG